RNAcentral lists this unclassified non-coding RNA (306 nucleotides) under plant metagenome. Its description in RNAcentral is "partial contains 5.8S ribosomal RNA, internal transcribed spacer 2, and large subunit ribosomal RNA". The stretch from base 1 to 105 matches the Rfam family "5.8S ribosomal RNA", at positions 50 to 154 of the family's 154-position model. The record is from RNAcentral.
GAAAUGCGAUAAGUAAUGUGAAUUGCAGAAUUCAGUGAAUCAUCGAAUCUUUGAACGCACAUUGCGCCCGCCAGUAUUCUGGCGGGCAUGCCUGUCCGAGCGUCAUUUCAACCAUCAAGCCCCCGGGCUUGUGUUGGGGACCUGCGGCUGCCCGCAGGCCCUGAAAACCAGUGGCGGGCUCGUUGUCACACCGAGCGUAGUAGCAAUCACCUCGCUCAGGGCGUGCUGCGGGUUCCGGCCGUUAAACAGCCUUACAAAACCCAAGGUUGACCUCGGAUCAGGUAGGAAGACCCGCUGAACUUAAGC